UACGAAGGGGGCUAGCGUUGUUCGGAAUCACUGGGCGUAAAGGGCGCGUAGGCGGCCGAUCAAGUCGGGGGUGAAAGCCUGUGGCUCAACCACAGAAUUGCCUUCGAUACUGUUUGGCUUGAGACCGGAAGAGGUUAGUGGAACUGCGAGUGUAGAGGUGAAAUUCGUAGAUAUUCGCAAGAACACCAGUGGCGAAGGCGGCUGACUGGUCCGGUUCUGACGCUGAGGUGCGAAAGCGUGGGGAGCAAACAGG
RNAcentral lists this ribosomal RNA (253 nucleotides) under uncultured bacterium. RNAcentral's name for it is "partial 16S ribosomal RNA". It matches the Rfam family "Bacterial small subunit ribosomal RNA", at positions 524 to 776 of the family's 1533-position model. The record is from RNAcentral.